This 346-nucleotide unclassified non-coding RNA is filed under the name soil metagenome. RNAcentral's name for it is "partial contains 5.8S ribosomal RNA, internal transcribed spacer 2, and large subunit ribosomal RNA". The stretch from base 1 to 120 matches the Rfam family "5.8S ribosomal RNA", at positions 35 to 154 of the family's 154-position model. The record is from RNAcentral.
GAUGAAGAACGCAGCGAAAUGCGAUAAGUAGUGUGAAUUGCAGAAUUCAGUGAAUCAUCGAAUCUUUGAACGCACAUUGCGCCCCUUGGUAUCCCGAGGGGCAUGCCUGUUCGAGCGUCAUUGCUGCCCUCAAGCACGGCUUGUGUGUUGGGCCCCGUCCUCCGAUUCCGGGGGACGGGCCCGAAAGGCAGCGGCGGCACCGCGUCCGGUCCUCGAGCGUAUGGGGCUUUGUCACCCGCUCUGUAGGCCCGGCCGGCGCUUGCCGAUCAACCCAAAUUUUUAUCCAGGUUGACCUCGGAUCAGGUAGGGAUACCCGCUGAACUUAAGCAUAUCAAUAAGCGGAGGA